This is a small nuclear RNA of Hemicordylus capensis (graceful crag lizard), 190 nucleotides long. RefSeq annotates it as U2 spliceosomal RNA. Lineage: Eukaryota; Metazoa; Chordata; Lepidosauria; Squamata; Cordylidae. The record is from RefSeq and is a predicted model, not a curated record. The transcript has a single exon.
AAUGCUUCUCGGCCUUAUGGCUAAGAUCAAGCGUAGUACCUGUUCUUAUCAGCUUAAUAUCUGAUAUGUCCUUUAUUUAAGGACUAUAUGUUAAUUCAAUUUUUAGAGCUAGGAAGUGAAAUGAAGCUUGCUUCAUUCACUCCAUGCAUCAGCCUGGUACUGCAGUGUCUCCAGAAAUGGUGCACCUCCC